CUUAAACGGCCGCGGUAUCCUAACCGUGCAAAGGUAGCGUAAUCACUUGUCUUAUAAAUAAAGACCCGUAUGAAAUGGCUAAAUGAAUAUUUAACUGUCUCCUUUAACUAAUCAGUGAAACUGAUCUUUCAGUACAAAAGCUGAAAUAAAAACAUAAGACGAGAAGACCCUGUGGAGCUUCAAAUUUUAAACAAAGUAUAAUAAAAAUGUAUUUAUGUUAAAAAUUUUUAGUUGGGGCGACUUUGGAGUAAAACUAAGCCUCCAAGAAAAGGCACAGCCUAACUAAGACCAACAGGCCAAACCAUAAAGACCCAGUAUAUUUACUGACUAAUGAACCAAGUUACCCCAGGGAUAACAGCGCCAUCUUCUUCAAGAGUUCCUAUCGACAAGAAGGUUUACGACCUCGAUGUUGGAUCAGGACACCCUAAUGGUGCAGCCGCUAUUAAAGGUUCGUUUGUUCAACG
RNAcentral lists this ribosomal RNA (464 nucleotides) under Anolis polylepis. RNAcentral's name for it is "partial 16S ribosomal RNA". It matches the Rfam family "Bacterial large subunit ribosomal RNA", at positions 1922 to 2586 of the family's 2925-position model. Lineage: Eukaryota; Metazoa; Chordata; Lepidosauria; Squamata; Anolidae. The record is from RNAcentral.